Molecule: long non-coding RNA, 1661 nt
Organism: Saccostrea echinata
Lineage: Eukaryota; Metazoa; Mollusca; Bivalvia; Ostreida; Ostreidae
Exons: 4
Source: RefSeq, a predicted model, not a curated record
CAAAUCUAUGGAAAGAGAGAAAAUCUCAGCUCAAGUGUCAACAUGUCUUUAUUCCAAGAAAGAGUGUACAUAUGCCAGAAUCAUAUGGACCGCAGACUGGCUCUGGUGAUUCCGUUAAGAAAAAAGAGGAAAAAUCAGUGCUUGUGCUCAUUGGUCAUUGGACAAAGGGUGUAUGCCAGAAUUUUUUCAAGAACAGUCUGAAUCUGACAUGGAAAAAAUGAAGAAAAACAGCCUUCCUGUUUAUAAAUCUACAUUCUGACAAAGGGUAAGAAAGAAAUUCAGGAGUUCUUAAAUUGCCCUUGGAGUUCUUGGAUUGCAUCAAACUGCUAAAAGACCUCAACAAAAACAGCGUCUUGAAAAUAAAAAUGAAAAUAUUCAGUGAAAAAAAAAUGAUGAAUGAGCCACUAAAAAUCUUCAAGCCUUUGAGCUGAAAUCUGGAAGUCAAUCUGUGGACUUUACUAGUAAGUCAUCAUUUGUGUGUAAUAAAUACACUAAACUGUAAACACUUGUUAAAAUGUGUAUAAUUUUUAGAUAUAAUUUGUAUCUCAUAGACUUCAAUAGUUUCAUGAAAUUUAAGUAAUAAUGAAAAUUUCCUGUUGUCUAGCUAGAUUAGAAACUAUUAUUGUCCAAUUUUGGAUAUUGUGAAAUAAUUCAUCUAGUAUGCAUACAUGUGUGUACACUUACGUGUAAAUUAAGUGUUAUAGCAAAUUCAAUCGAUCAUUAAGUUGAAUGUUGACUAAUGUUUUUCAUCAAAAUUGUUUACACUGAAUUGUUUGUGGAUUUUUCCAUUUGCCCAAUCAUGUCAAGGAGCACAUGGCAGGAAAUGCUUUCUCCUCCAUUGCACCUGGUGUUUUUAGAGGUCUGUGUUUGCUCUGCUCUAAUUAUGUAUUGUUUCAAUGGACUUUAAAGCUUGAUCACUGUUGGUAAUCUUCAUAUUUCAUAUACUAUUAGAGUACUUGAAGAAAACUGUAAAGAUUUAACAUACAGUAUAAUGCAUGUAUAUUGCACUUUAAGUACAGUGUUUGUGGUUAAGAAAUGUUAAAUCGUCUCAUAGUGCAUUGAAUUUGUUGAAAAUUAGAAAAUGUGUUGAAAUUUUUUUUGAAAUAAUGUUAGAUUGCAGAUUUUUUUAAAUCAUGCAAGUAAGAAAUUGCUAAAUAUUUUUUAGAUUUUCUGGACAGUCUAGAUGAGUUCUUACUAUAUACAUAUACCUAGCAUUGUCAUCCCAGUUAAAAUUUAAGGAGCAAGGUUCAUUCCUAAGGUCUACCUGGACAAACUUGCAUGGAUUAAAGCACAUUAACAGAUUUACUUCAGAUGCUUGACCUGAUCUACAUUUUCCUCAUGUGUUUUUUUGUUUUUGUUUGUUUGUUGUUUAACAUCCCUCUCAAGAAUUUUUCAUCCAUAUGGAGAUGCCACUACUUGCUGGUGGAGAACUGCAAAAUUUGACCUAUACUUUGCACUCAGGGCCUUGAGCAGUAAGGGAUCUUUUUUGUGCCCACAUCAACUGCUAGGCGGGACCUCGGUUUAUAUGGUCUAAUCUGAAGGACUGGUCCCCACAUCCCCAGUGGAUUUGAACCUGAGACUUAAGGAUUAAAUCCUUACUUGCGACUCUAGAUUACAAACUCUAUCCUUUGCGCCACAUGGGAGACUCCACAAGAUUAAGU